Molecule: ribosomal RNA, 253 nt
Filed under: uncultured bacterium
Lineage: Bacteria
Description: partial 16S ribosomal RNA
Rfam family: Bacterial small subunit ribosomal RNA
Source: RNAcentral
UACGAAGGGGGCUAGCGUUGUCCGGAUUUAUUGGGCGUAAAGAGCGUGUAGGCGGUUAGGUAGGUCCGUUGUGAAAACUCGAGGCUCAACCUCGAGACGCCGAUGGAAACCAUCUAACUAGAGUCCGGAAGAGGAGAGUGGAAUUCCUGGUGUAGCGGUGAAAUGCGCAGAUAUCAGGAAGAACACCCGUGGCUAAGGCGGCUCUCUAGUACGGUACUGACGCUGAGACGCGAAAGCGUGGGGAGCGAACAGG